UUUAUUAAUGAUUUUUUAUUUUCUCCAUUAUAGUUCAUUUACAGUGUUCUGUCAAUUUCUACUGACAGCAAAGUGACCCAGUCACACAUAUGUAUAUAUACAUUCUUUUUCUCACAUUAUCCUCCAUCAUGCUCCAUCAUAAGUGACUAGAUGUAUUUCCCAGUGCUAUACAGCAGGGUCUCCUCGCUAACUGACUCCAAAUGCAAUAGUUUGCAUAUAUUAACCCCAGACUCCCAGUCCAUCCCACUCCCUCCCUCUCCCCCUUGACAUCCACAAGUCUAUUCUCCAAGUCCAUGAGUUUCUUUUCUGUGGAAAAGUACAUUUGUGCCAUAUAUUAGAUUCCAGAUAUAAGUGAUAUCAUAUGGUAUUUGUCUUUCUCUUUCUGACAUUUCACUUAGUAUGAGAGUCUCCAUUUCCAUCUAUGUUGCUGCAAAUGGCAUUAUUUUGUUCUUUUUUAUGGCCGAGUGGUAUUCCAUUGUGUAUAUAUACCACAACUUCUUAAUUCAUUCAUCUGUCAAUGGACAUUUAGGUUGUUUCCAACAAUCUUUUAAGUUGCAAGAAGUUUUGUCUCCCUAAAUGGCAUCCUGAAACUAGAAAGGGAUGGUAAUUAAAUCCCAAUGUUCUAAGAAUAAUCAUAUCACCUGAAACAUGGUGUCUCCAGGAAUAUCCUCAAGUAUUACAAAAAGUAUCUAUGCUAUUAUUGUAUUUGAUGACUGUCACAGACUGAAUGUUUGCACCCCGCACCCCCCAUUCCUAAAUUGAAAUCCUAACUCCAUUGUGAUGGUAUUAGGAGGUGGGCUUCUGGUAGGUCAUAUAAUGGGAUUAGUGCUCUUAUAAAAAGGGUUCAGGAGAAUGUUAUUGCCCCUUCUGCCAUUCAAGGACAUAGUGAGAAGACGGCAAAUGAACCAGGAAAAAGGUUCUCACCAAACAAUGAAUCUACUAGCAUGUUGAUCUUGGAGUUCCCAGCCUUGAGAACUAUGAGAAAUAAAUUUCUGUUGUUCAAGCCACCCAGUCUAUGAUAUUUUGUUAUAACAGCACAAAUGGACCAAGGCAAGAACAAAGUACUUCUACCCCUGAUGGUAAAAUAUAUAUAGAGAGAGAGAGAACAAAUUACUGAAUUCAUCAAAUUUGGAGUGAUCUUAAAUUUCAGAAAAAUGAAAAUAUUACAUUCAAAUGAUCCAAUAUUAGCCCAUAUUUUUCACUCAGACUAUUGUUUCAGACCUACUAAUAAUCAUAAAGCUAAUAUUAGGAAGAUCUUACAAAGUGUUUUAUGGACAUUCAAUCAUUUAUUUGACUCAACCAUCCUAUGUGAUAAGUACUACUAUCAUUCCACUUUACAGAUGAAGAAACUAAAGUUUAUUGAGGUUAAGAAUCAUGCAUAGUCAUACUGCAUCUCUGUUUACCUGCAGCUUAGUCAAUCUGGACAAAAUAACAGGGGUGGGAGAGGUAGGGGGAGGUAGAGGGAGUAUCAAGCUUGAUAUUUUGUUCUGUCUAAUGGCCAAGGAAAACACUGUGAAAUAUCUGAACAUUAACUUGCCCUAAGGCCACAAGCUUGUCUUCAGUACUGCCAAUAGUGUAAGAGAUACAUCUAAAGUCCUCGCUGAUAUUUCUUAUAUCACCCAGUUUAAUCACAUACAAAAUAAGUUAAUUGGAUCUAAGAUCUAUCUGAAUAUUUCUAAUUGUAGCAGGAUUGUAUAGGGAGAAUUAAGUAACAUAAGGAGUUGAUAGUUCUGUUUAAGUAAAAGUUGGAAAAAAUAUAUAACCUAAACAAUUCCAUUGAACUCUCAGUACAUGUUAAGAGUAAUGGUAUAAUGACACAUUAUUGAAAAAAUAAAAUAAUUUUAACUCACAUCCUCUAAUAUGAAGAAUUUCUGUUUUCUUUAGAUGAACUCUUAAUGCUUUCUUUCUCUCCACAAGGUAGAAAAUUUGAAGUUAAAGGCUAUGAGCAGUUACAUGCACUGGCUUAUUUACCAAUUCUUAGGUUUAGAUUAUAGGAGGUUUCUUAUAUUAGUUAAGAAUCUUCUAAAUUCUUUACAAACAUGGUUAUAGCAUCCCAGAAAACUGAUCCUGAAAGAGAUUCCUAUUUGUGAAAAUUUAUAAAAUAUUUCAUCAUGAGAACUAGGUGCAAAAGACAUGAAUUCCAAGGACUUACCACUUUUGGUAUUAAAGAGUUUACUUUUAGCUUAGUUCUAUUAUAUGGAAAUUGAUCUAAAAUGCUAUUUUAGGCAGAAAUUUGUCCUCAUCAUUAAACUUUUCAUGGUGAAUCCAGAUAACCAGUAUGAACAUUAACUACUGAAAUCCUCACAACAUACUAAGGGAGUUAAAAGUAAUCAUCAAUACACCAAAUAGCCGUAGGCUGUUCUGUAUCUUCAUCCUUCUAAUUUUUACAAACUUUAUAAUAACAUCCUUCCAGCUCAAGUUCACAGAAUCAGAUAUUUUUAAGUGAAUCAGUUUCAGGUGCUCAGCUUUCUUACUAAAACUGAUCGGAGAAUGCACCUGCAUUUGAGGAGUCAGGGGAUGACAAUUUCUGUUUAAAGACCUUGCCUUUUCAGAGUUCCCUGGUUGCCUAGCGAAAAAAAUUCCCUAAGAGGCAAGCAAAGAGGGAAUCAAUAAGAAAUACCAACAGAGGGGUGCCUUAUUUCCCCAGGGGCAGGUUACUGCAAGCCUUCUCACCCUAUCUAGAAUUCUUUUUAGAUUGAGAAUUCAGAACUGAAAAGACAAGUCACUCAGAGGCUCAUGAGAAUUUAUUUGAAUACAAAAAUUCAACCCAAAAGAAAGUACGCUGCCCUAGCUGACUGAGUCAGCAUAUAAGUUUCUCAAAAUAAGUUAGAUAGGUAGACAUUUUUCAUAAGCUUAACAAGCUAAAUCUGUAGCUCCAAAGUUUUGAUGAGAUAUACUUAAAGCAUGAGAUAUACUUAAAACAUGAGAUCAGAUAAAAGAAUUUUGUCCAAAAAGAUCAUAUCAUAUCAACUGAAUUUUGGAAUAUUUUUAUUUCCCCAAUUCUGAGUGUAUCAAGUUCAACAUGGUGCCUCUAAGAAAAAGAGAAACAAGUGUAAUUAGUGGGUAUUUGAGAGCAUUUGGUACGUCUUUGGUGUACUUCCCAGAAACAGAGAAAGUGAAUGUCUCAGGUGACUGAUUAAGAAUCCUUUUGCAAGUCAGGGUUUCUUUUCGACAAAAUUGAAGGAGAACUAAUUAAGUCGUUAGAGGACGAAUCAUGCACAAUAAUUUGAUAAGAAAUCAUUAUGUGAUUUUUGGUAUAAAGUUGGUAAGGAGUUUUCUUCAAUGACAUAAAAAUCUCUCCAAUCUCAUCCACUUACUUGUAUGAGAAAGAUUUCUCAAUGUUUAAAACUGGAAUUGUCGGAGUUUCUGUCGUGGCUCAGUGGUUAACAAAUCCAACUAGGAACCAUGAGGCUGAGGGUUCAAUCCCUGCCCUUACUCACUGGGUUAAGGAUCCAGCAUUGCCGUGAGCUGUGGUGUAGGUCACAGACGCAGCUCGGAUCCAGCGUUGCUGUGGCUCUGGUGUGGGCCGGCGACUACAGCUCUGAUUCAACCCCUAGCCUGGGAACCUCCAUACGCCGCCUCCACGGGAGGCCCAAGAAAUGGCAAAAAGACAAAAAAAUAAAAUAAAUAAAUAAAUAAAUAAAAUUGGAAUUAAAACAUGGUCUAUCUUCAUUAAUAGAUGAAGGUCCAAUAAACUUUUAUAUUUAGUGAUUAUUUAUCAAUAUUUAAUAUAAUUACAAUUUUGAUCAAUGUGUGCUAAUAAUAACAGCAAUAAAAACUCUGGAUGGACUUUUACAUCCAGAUGUAAUUUUUGGAUCCAGAUGUAAUUUUUGAAAUUUAGAGGAUUAUGGAUUCAGGAAAUUAUUUUUAUUUUAAGAUUCUGAGACUAUACAAUGAGCAAUAAAAAUUUUAAGCAUAUUUCAUUGAUAAGAUUUUAUAAGGUAAGUGAACAAAAAUAUGAAUUAAAAGAGAAAAAAGACUGGUGCAGAGUUUUCAACCAAUAAAAAACUUGCUUUUAUAUUUCAAAUACAUAAUGGUGAGAAUCAAAUUAUUAUAAUAUUGUAGAAUCUAAAUGGAUAUAUUUUAAAAUGAUUUAGAUUCUUAAUUUCAAAAUGUCAAUAUUUACAACAUACCAGAAAUUAUGAAAAAAAACUUGAGUUCUAUAAUUAUUCCAAAAAUCUUUCAAGGUAUAGGGAACAAAGAAAUUAGAACUUCCUUGUUUACUUCUCGUGCCUUCUCAUUAUUUAUGGAAUUAGAAAGUAAGCUUUCCUAGCCCAACUUUGACAUUUGCUCUUUGAUCCGUUGUUCCCUUAGAAAUUGAGGUCUCCAAAUCAUGGAAAUGUAGACAUGAUGAAAAACUGCCCAAACAAAUAUGUCACUAAUCAUUUGCUUUACCAUAAAACUCAUGAUAAGUUUCUUUUAAGUAACAAUCUGCUCUAGUGUUUCUGAAAUAUGGCUCUAUGAAUAAAAAUUCAUCAUUGCAUUCUAUUUGCUGGCUCUUCACUUUUUAAGUCUUAAAUUAAAAAUAUGAUGCUUUGAUUCUGUAGCAGAUCUUCAAGAAUAAUCCCUUCUUAAGUGUCUUCACAAAUAUGUUAUGGAGUUUAGCAUGACAGCAGAAAGUAAACAGGUGAGAAGGGAGAAAGGAAAAGAGGAGAAGAUGAAAUGGUAUGAUGAUACCAAAGAAGAGGGUGGGUAACUCUAAGCAUCCAGACCUUUUCAAAAGUGGCAUCACUAAAUUUUAUCACUAAUUCACAAUAGGAUUAAAAUGCAAAUCAUUUUUAUUUAAGAGCAAAGCUAAGUAUCAGUUUAAUAUAAUUCUUGUCUCUGGAGCAAUACCAGCCAGAUUUCUUUCAUAGUUUUCUCUCUGAGACAAGAAAUGCCUAAUGAAACAAGGUACGGAGUAUUUCUUAAGAUUUGCUGAUCCUUAUAAGCCCCUUGACCUCUCUAUGGUACUCCAUUCUUUUACCUAUAAAAUGAGAAGGUGGCCCUAAACCAAUAAUUUGGGGAAGGGUAAGGUGGGUAAAUGAGAAGGGACAUGUCCCAAGGGAUGAAUUUUUUAGACAGAGAGGAUUUUGUUCUUUCCUUCAAAAGGAACAAAAGGCUGCCAUCACAAUCUAGCUUUAAUUUUAAGGUCGCUUCCAACAAUGAGAUGCUAUAUUCCUGAACUAUGACUAGAAAACAUUGAUAUUUCUUUGUUCCUCUUCUCCCCUGUCCUUUGUUCCUGGCAAGCAUCACUAUUUACUCCUUGUUGCUUAGAUGAGGUGUGUGCCUGGGAGGAGGAGGGAAUAAAAGAUGUAACUAGAGACCAAUUUUCAGCCCCUCUGAGGCUCAAUCUGUAGUUCUACGUUUUUAUGACUUCACAACCCUCCCAGCUUAAGAAAAAAAUUAUGAGGAAUUUUAAAAGAUCCCUUUUUCUCUCAUCUUGAAGCCUGUUAAAUGAUAUUUGUAAAAAGAAGGUACAAAAUAAGAGGUUGCCAAAUAAGUUACUUUUUCUAAAUCAGAGAAGUUCAAAGAUAAAAUGGGGCCUGUCUUGGUGGUCAGCUGUCAGAGUGAAAUUUAAUUUAGCAAUGACAAUAGACAAAGUAUGUCAGACUAAGUGCUUGAUCAAGAAUCUGAAAACUUUUCAAUAAAACAGCCUUGAUUUCAGUUAGGGCAGACAACACCAGGUAGAGAACGACUAUGCUGAAAAUAAAUUAAGAAAAUGUCUUGCAGGAUCAAGGGAAAAAAUUCUUUAUUAUCUUCCCAACUCAUCUUCCUCUAUGUAACUUUCAGAGACUCUUCAUUUUAGGAGGUUUUCCAGCCAUAGUGAUGGGUUGAUGGAGAUGUCGUGUUCCUGGAUCUAGUGACUUCUUGUCAAGGCUCCAAAGCCCAGAGUCACUCCUAUUUAGAAAAUCUCCUAUAUCCUUUUGGAUUACGCUUGAUCUCUUUUUAUCUAAUUAAUUACAUCUCAGGAACCAUGAAGUAAUUACAUUAAGAGCUUGGAGGCAUGCCUUCAGGAAUGUCACUGUGGCUUUCUGUUUGUUUGCUUUAAAGCAAACCAGCACUUUGGAACUUGGUUCAGAUUAGCAAUUUUGUGCUUUCAGUUAGAUACCAAGCAAUGGUUCUACUCCUGGUUACUAAAAUAAGAAAGCAGGUAAAGGACAUAAAGGAAUGUGACUCAAUCUCUCUCUUCCCUUUGUAUUCUACUUUAGCAUAAUGACUUUAGACCUCUGGACUUCAGUUGGGAGCACAGAGGCUAUUGGCAAACUUUACUUGUUUACCUGAGGGUCAAGUGGGAUGAAAAGCAGAAUAGGAAGACAGAACUUUCCAAGGACUGGCCCUGGUAAAAGCACAGAGAAACAAUACAGAUCAGCAAAGGGACUUUUUUUUUUUUCCCUUUUCUUCCUUUUUAAAAAAUAUUGUCAAUCUAGUAAGUGCUGAAGACUAUUUGCUAAGCUGUUCAAAGACAUAACUAUUCUGAGAUUACUCCUUCACUUGUCUACUCUCAUAGGCCUCUGUGAACAUCUGUGCCAUGUGUACAGGCCUCUUCCAAACAAAAGGAAGAGGUCUGAAGAGGAUAUGCUCUCAGAAAAGCUGUAAAUACAUUUAAGAAAUUCUCUGAAAGUUCAUCAGCUACCUGAUUUCCUAGGCAAGGCUUCUUAUCACAUUAACCAUGAUUUAAGAUGGAAGUGGGGGGAUAGAAUAAAGAUAGAGGAAUAAGAAGGGGAGGAAAAGGGAAGGUAAUGAAUGAUUAAUGAAAAUCUGGUGAUUAAUGGAAAAAAGAUUUUAAGAAAUAAUAAAGCAUUUAUCCCUAGGGUAGAAAACAGGAAAAAACAAAAAUGAGUACCAAAUUGAAACUGGCAAAACACUGAAAGAAGAGAGUAGAACAAAGAAACAGAGUAGGACAAAGAAAUGCUCCUUUCAGUAUAAGAUUGUUGAAAAGACACACAGGAUUUGAAAACUUACCAUUUAGGAGAUAUUUGCUUAAACAAAAAUAAAUUUAUAUUUGCCUGAUUUCCUGAAAGUUACCAAUAAUGGGCCAUUUAUGGAUAAGAGCCUGCAGAUAUUCAGGUAUACAGAAGCCAGACUUUGUGUCUGUUGAACGUUUCUUUCUCUUCAAAAUCUGACACAGCAUCAGAGUGCAUGAGAACCCUCAGCUGCAUGGAUCCAUCACCAAUGAAUGAGAACCUGGCUUUUCAGAUGCACACUUUUUAGUGAGCACACUGGGCUCUCCAGAGCAGCAUGUAUGUGAAUUACCUAUGUGUGGGCACAGCCUAAGGGAAAACUCAUAUGAGGCACAGAGGCAAUUUAUAAACACAAGCUGUACAUUGAUAAGGAGACAGAAGUAUAUCACAAAGGGUGUAGAUGCCCAGGUUUUUCCACAAAAGCUGACCUUCACACAUGCAAGGGAAAAAUACCACAAAAACAUUCCUAUGGCAAGACGAGCAAUGACUGAAAAUAAGAAUGUGUGUACUUUACUUAUUUUGAAUGUUAGUUAAAGGAAAACAGGUUUAAUUGGAAGACAAGUUGAGCUGAUGAUAACAGUUAUGGAGAUUCUUCAGGGAGCUUCUGGACACAUGCAAGAGCCAUGAAGGCUGGCGACAUAUGUUUUGAAAAAAUUAGGCCUUAUUUCCCAUGACAGUUUUUUUUUUUUUUUCCUUUUCUAUGAAUUUGGUGUAUUACCCAUACAGCUUGUACUCCCAUUACCCAUGAUUAGGAACACAUUAGGCUCACAUUAGGUUCCCUGAAGACAGAAUCCAAGAUUCUUUCAAUUUUGUAAUUUUGGUAUCUAGUUUGCUUCACAGAUUUCUCUGAAGUGAUCAAAUGAAUGAGUAUGUGAACUAAUGAAUGACUUGUUAAAACAGUAUUGCGAAGAAUUUUGUAAUGGAGGGAGGGGCAUCAUUUUCUACAAAGGCAUCAAUUUGUUCUAUUACAUCUCCUAAAUCACAAGAACUACUGAUCUGAUACUGAAAAGGAAUACCUGCCUCAGGCAGAAGUGACUGGAAAAAAAAAAAAAAAAA
This 8000-nucleotide long non-coding RNA is filed under the name Sus scrofa (pig). Its description in RNAcentral is "lncRNA (ENSSSCG00050015213.1)". The record is from RNAcentral. Lineage: Eukaryota; Metazoa; Chordata; Mammalia; Artiodactyla; Suidae.